Ziziphus jujuba (common jujube) is the source of this 1707-nucleotide long non-coding RNA. RefSeq lists it as uncharacterized. The record is from RefSeq and is a predicted model, not a curated record. The transcript is spliced from 2 exons. Lineage: Eukaryota; Viridiplantae; Streptophyta; Magnoliopsida; Rosales; Rhamnaceae.
AUUAUUUUUUAACAAUCAACAUUUUCGUUGAACAUUCUGUAAUAUUAAUCAAUUAUUCUAUUAGAAAUUAGUUUCUCAGUAUCUGAGAAAUUAUAUAGAAAAGUGGUACCAGAAAAAUUGAGAAAAUGCGGGUGAAAAGUGAAGCUAGAAAAAUGUGCCAUUCUCAAAUUUUUGCAUAAUUAGUUUACUAUAUGUUUAUAAUGACAAUCUUAUGUGUAUUUAUGCAAAAUUAUUUAUAAAAAAGUUCGACAGAGACUACUUCUCUUAAAAAAACAUAUGCUUCUCAUAAUAGUUUAAUAUAUAUUUUAUGAUAAGAAUCUUACCUUUAUUUUCAAUACAUUGCAUGUUUAAUUUCAUUUAAAUUAUGUUUUCACAUUACUAACCAAACGCUUGAAAUGAAAACUAAGUUUUCAUUAAAUAAAAAUAAAAUAAAAAAAUCCCAAACAACAGUUUCCUUAAAAUUUUACCAUGAAUCAAGUUUCACUAUUGCAUUUCAUUCAGACAUUUUAACAGGGCUCUAAUGGGUUGCACGGGACCGGGACGCGAAGCCUGAAUAACCGACUGCCUCAUCGCCGCCGCCGAGCUUCGAAACGUUAAUGGAGGUAAGAAAGAUGCAGGCAUGAAAAUGCAAGCUUGCGAGUGGAACUUGGUGGUGCUUUGAAGGUGUUCGAUGAAAUGCCCGAAGAGGGUCGCUCUUGGUGUUGUUAACAUGGUCUUUUUUGGAUUAUCCAAAUGUGCUGACUUACAAUGUUCUGAUUAAUGGGUUCUGCACAUGUGGGAAGUUACAAUGAGAGUUUGGAAAUUUGUUUCUUGUUGUAUCUUGAUUCCUGGGUUUCGCGAAGGACACAAUCUACAUUUUUGGGAAAGAAGCAAUAAAGGCUGCUCUCCUGCUGUUGGCCGAGUCUCCUACAGUGAGGCUUGUGAGAGUUUGUUUAGGUUUAUGCGAAGUAGAAAGAUACAGUGAAGCAUAUGAUUCUGCCAUCUGUAAGGGAAAACCUGGAGAAGGUUGCAAGCCAGAUAUGAUCACAUAGCUUACUGAUAAAUGGCCUUUGUCAAGAUAUUAGAAUUGACAUGGCUAUCAAUUUGGGGCAGCAAGUGAUUUACAAGAUUUUAAUCCUGAUUUGAUGAUGCAGUAUAAUUCAUGGGCUUCACUUGGCAGGCAAAGUUCAGACCGGGGAGUUGGAUUGUGUUCCAAAUCUUGUGUCCCAUUACGCCCUGAUGGAGAGCUUCUUCAAGGCCAGAGAUUGCGGUAAGGCAUCAGAGACAUAGGCCUGCUCUUUAGAAUUCGAGCUACACCCGGAAACCAUUUCAUAUAAUAUUACUCUCAAAGGGCUUUGCUCGUGCUGUAGAACGUCAGAUGCCCAUUGGGUUUUUGGAUGACGCUUUGGAUUUAGUAAUUCUACCGUUUGCCAUAACAUGGUACAUACUUGUUGCAGCGGUACUCAACAAUGGGCCAAUGGGAUCUCAAGUCUUUUCCUGUUCUUUUGGCUUUAAAUUUGUUGCUUCUGGAGUUAUGUAAUCAGAAAAGCUGACUGACUAUCAUAAUAUGGAGUUAUGUAAUCAGAAAAGCUGACUGACUAUCAUAAUAUUCCUUAUAGUCUCUAUAGCUUGUUUAAGAUGCUUCAUACUUCAGAGCUUUGCACAUUCUUGUACAGUUGCUUCUAAUAAUUUCAGCUAGCGGUGAGAUGCUUGGAUUAUCAGUUCAAA